Long non-coding RNA from Ictalurus punctatus (channel catfish), 453 nucleotides. The record is from Ensembl. NCBI's taxonomy places the organism in Eukaryota, Metazoa, Chordata, Actinopteri, Siluriformes, Ictaluridae.
ACACAGUCCCAGACGCGCUAACACACCGACUCGCUGCAACCGAACCUGCAAGGCCGCGAGACUCCGGCGCUAAUUUGAGAGACGUCACAUGAGCCGAACAGAUUCUCACUUUUCAUUCUCCUAACUACGCUGUCAAAGGAGUGCGGUGAGGAAUCGUGGGAAAUGUACGCCACGCACCGGAUGACGGCUUCUUCCCCGACGAGGUCGGAGCGCCCGUCCCGUUCCCAGACCCAGUGUGAGAAAGGUUCUCUCCCUCUCCUCAAAACCUUCCCGAUGUAACAUGUCCAACAGCUCUAGAAGCUCGGAGGAAGAACGCUCAGGAAUGUUACAGAAAAGCAGAACCCAUCUUCACAGAGCACCCUGCCACUCAUGGGACGUCGGGAUGCCGGAUAUGAUGGGCGUAUGAUGUUGAGAUCCGUCUUUUCACACACCGAGGACGACUGAGGGACGUUC